CGUCGAGAAAAGGAUCCGGUGGAAGCCACGUACUUGGUGUAGCACCCUGGAGCCCAAACAACAUCGACUCGAGAUCUACCCAGAAAAACACUGACUAUUGUCUUUAUCGCUCCUUGUCGACCUGUAUACUCUCCGUCCGUCCAGGCCCCGAAAUGUUCACACGCAUCCCAUGCAUUCUGCUACAGCUGGAGUGCAGAAGUGGUGGUAGUCUUGAAUAGCCUU
RNAcentral lists this long non-coding RNA (222 nucleotides) under Hordeum vulgare. RNAcentral's name for it is "long non-coding RNA (HVUL_LNC020118)". Lineage: Eukaryota; Viridiplantae; Streptophyta; Magnoliopsida; Poales; Poaceae. The record is from RNAcentral.